This 253-nucleotide ribosomal RNA is filed under the name uncultured bacterium. RNAcentral's name for it is "partial 16S ribosomal RNA". It matches the Rfam family "Bacterial small subunit ribosomal RNA", at positions 524 to 776 of the family's 1533-position model. The record is from RNAcentral.
UACGGGGGGGGUAAGCGUUGUUCGGAAUUACUGGGCGUAAAGGGCUCGUAGGCGGCCAACUAAGUCAUACGUGAAAUCCCUCGGCUUAACCCGGGAACUGCGUCCGAUACUGGAUGGCUUGAGUUCGGGAGAGGGAUGCGGAAUUCCAGGUGUAGCGGUGAAAUGCGUAGAUAUCUGGAGGAACACCGGUGGCGAAGGCGGCAUCCUGGACCGACACUGACGCUGAGGAGCGAAAGCUAGGGGAGCAAACGGG